UGGGGAUCUAGCUCAGUUGGUGGAGUGCUUGCCUUGCAUGCACAAGGCCCUGGGUUCAAUGCCCAGCACUAA
Molecule: transfer RNA, 72 nt
Filed under: Marmota monax (woodchuck)
Lineage: Eukaryota; Metazoa; Chordata; Mammalia; Rodentia; Sciuridae
Description: tRNA.Ala
Source: RNAcentral